Long non-coding RNA from Thalassophryne amazonica, 188 nucleotides. RefSeq lists it as uncharacterized. Lineage: Eukaryota; Metazoa; Chordata; Actinopteri; Batrachoidiformes; Batrachoididae. The record is from RefSeq and is a predicted model, not a curated record. The transcript is spliced from 3 exons.
GGUGGAAGCUGAAGGAGGAAGACUGUUGUGUGAAAUUCAGUAAGCAGGUGAGAGAGGCACUGGAUGGAAGGGAAGCAAUUUGGACAGCUGGAAAAGUACUGCCGAUGUGGUAAGAGAGACAGCUAGGAUAGUACUGGGUGAAACAUCUGGACAGUGGAAGGAAGACAAGGAGACUUAAUGACAUGGAG